AUACGGAGGAUGCGAGCGUUAUCCGGAUUUAUUGGGUUUAAAGGGUGCGUAGGCUGUGCCGCAAGUCAGUGGUGAAAUCCCGGGGCUCAACUCCGGACCUGCCAUUGAUACUGCGGUGCUGGAGUCCGCUUGCCGUGGGAGGAAUGAGUAGUGUAGCGGUGAAAUGCAUAGAUAUUACUCAGAACACCGAUUGCGAAGGCAUCUCACGAAGGCGGAACUGACGCUGAGGCACGAAAGCGUGGGGAUCAAACAGGCUUAGAUACCCUGGUAGUCCACGCUGUAAACGAUGAUGACUAACUGUCGGCGACAGACUGUCGGCGGCCAAGCGAAAGCGAUAAGUCAUCCACCUGGGGAGUACGACCGCAAGGUUGAA
This 373-nucleotide ribosomal RNA is filed under the name uncultured bacterium. RNAcentral describes it as "bacterial SSU rRNA". It matches the Rfam family "Bacterial small subunit ribosomal RNA", at positions 523 to 898 of the family's 1533-position model. The record is from RNAcentral.